UACGAAGGGGGCUAGCGUUGUUCGGAAUUACUGGGCGUAAAGCGCGUGUAGGCUGCAUUGUAAGUCAGUGGUGAAAGCCCAAGGCUCAACCUUGGAACUGCCAUUGAAACUACAAUGCUGGAAUCUCAGAGGGGGUAGUGGAAUUCCUAAUGUAGGGGUGAAAUCCGUAGAUAUUAGGAGGAACACCGGUGGCGAAGGCGGCUACCUGGCUGAGUAUUGACGCUGAGACGCGAAAGCGUGGGGAUCAAACAGG
RNAcentral lists this ribosomal RNA (253 nucleotides) under uncultured bacterium. RNAcentral describes it as "partial 16S ribosomal RNA". It matches the Rfam family "Bacterial small subunit ribosomal RNA", at positions 524 to 776 of the family's 1533-position model. The record is from RNAcentral.